Microcebus murinus (gray mouse lemur) is the source of this 1146-nucleotide non-coding RNA. Lineage: Eukaryota; Metazoa; Chordata; Mammalia; Primates; Cheirogaleidae. The record is from RefSeq and is a predicted model, not a curated record.
CUCAGGGACUGUCAACUGCUGGGAAGGGUUUAUUUUCGGUUAUUGUUCGGUGUCUAGUUCCCACGUGAGAAAGUUAAGUUUGACAAGGCAGGGGUCCCGUUUGUCUUGUCUGCUACUGGAUUUGUGAUACCCACAGUAGGGCUGGCACCGAGAAUGGCUCUUAGCGACAGCCUGGCUGGGGCACGAGAACCAGUACGAAUUUUGGAGUCCAACUAUGGGUUUGUAGCCGAGCUGCCCCUCGGAUUUGCAGGGACUAUCCUGAGACCUCAGGUUCUACCUAUAACAUGGGAGUAACAGCGCCUGCCCCUACAGGGUUUUUAAUUAGGACUGAAUGAGCUAAUAAAUAUAAAGUUCUCAGUUCAGCGUCUGAUACACAGACGUGCUCACUGGGGUAAGUCAUGUCAUCAUGAUGUUGGGAAGAAAGAAAUCUAAUUAUAACUGGACGACAGGGCACGAGACAGUCUGGGAUGUCAUUUGCAGAGAUACUUCCAGCAACACAAAUCCCACACACGUAUGCCAGCAAGUGGGUAUGGAGUUCUAGAAUUUUCUUUUCAGUGAAAGUCAGGCAUGAGUCAUGAUUUCUUUUGUUCUUUCCGCCACUGUGACCUCGUCGAUGGGCAGAGGUCCAUGCCACUCAGCUGAGUCUGUCUCUCUUUUCUAGGUGGGACCCGCAACCGCUCGGACACUGUCGGAGGGGCCCCCCACAGCAAGCCUGGGGUGGGGAACUGGAACCUCGAGGCCAUCAUGCCAUUCAAGUUCAAGGGCGGCGCGGACUCGCGGCUUCUCUCCAGCACCCUGGGAAGAAGACCUGGACUUGAUAGAUGCUUUCAAUAAGAGCCUUAAAUAACGAUCAUACUGUGCAAGGAGGCAUCUUUCAUUCUGGAUCAGCCUUAGGUACACGCUAGGAUCUUCGGCACGGUGUUAAGCAGAGGUAAAAUCUACGACAACUGGUCUUGCCAACAGUGGAUAUCACGAUCGGGCUGAUUUUGCUGUGUAGCGGUGACACUGAACAGCGGUUAUGCCACAAAUCAGCAAGUCUCACGACGAUAAUCCGACCCUAGAGUGACGCCAGGCCACCUGGACAAGUGCCCUCAGGCUUCAGAGAGGGCAAAGGAUGCCUCGCCACAGCUUCUUGCCAGCAAGUGC